Molecule: ribosomal RNA, 497 nt
Filed under: uncultured bacterium
Lineage: Bacteria
Description: partial 16S ribosomal RNA
Rfam family: Bacterial small subunit ribosomal RNA
Source: RNAcentral
GACGAACGCUGGCGGCGUGCCUAAUACAUGCAAGUUGAGCGAUGAAGAUUGGUGCUUGCACCAAUUUGAAGAGCAGCGAACGGGUGAGUAACGCGUGGGGAAUCUGCCUUUGAGCGGGGGACAACAUUUGGAAACGAAUGCUAAUACCGCAUAAUAACUUUAAACAUAAGUUUUAAGUUUGAAAGAUGCAAUUGCAUCACUCAAAGAUGAUCCCGCGUUGUAUUAGCUAGUUGGUGAGGUAAAGGCUCACCAAGGCGAUGAUACAUAGCCGACCUGAGAGGGUGAUCGGCCACAUUGGGACUGAGACACGGCCCAAACUCCUACGGGAGGCAGCAGUAGGGAAUCUUCGGAAAUGGACGAAAGUCUGACCGAGCAACGCCGCGUGAGUGAAGAAGGGUGUCGGAUCGUAAAACUCUGUUGGUAGAGAAGAACGUUGGUGAGAGUGGAAAGCUCAUCAAGUGACGGUAACUACCCAGAAAGGGACGGCUAACUACGUG